GAUUAACGCUGGCGGCGUGCAUAACACAUGCAAGUCGAACGAUGAAACUUAGUAUACUUCUUCGGAAAGACACUAAGCGGAUUAGUUGCGAACGGGUGAGUAACGCGUGAGUAACCUGCCUUACACAAGGGGAUAGCCUUUGGAAACGAAGAAUAAUACCCUAUAAAACCAUAAAAGCACAUGCUAGAAUGGUAAAAGUGAUAGCGGUGUAAGAUGGACUUGCGUCUGAUUAGCUAGUUGGUGAGAUAAAAGCUCACCAAGGCAACGAUCAGUAACCGGCUGGAGAGAGGGGAAGGCAAAAUUGGGAAUGAGAAAAGGCCCAGACUCCAACGGGAGGAAGAAGUGGGGAAUUUGGAACAAGGGGGGAAACACGGAUGCAGCGAGGCCGGGAGAUUUAGAAGGCCUUAGGGUUGUAAAAAUCUUUUGUAUAGGAAGAAAAUGACAGUACUAGACGAAUAAGGUCCGGCUAAUUACGUG
Molecule: ribosomal RNA, 477 nt
Filed under: uncultured bacterium
Lineage: Bacteria
Description: partial 16S ribosomal RNA
Rfam family: Bacterial small subunit ribosomal RNA
Source: RNAcentral